RNAcentral lists this RNase P RNA (358 nucleotides) under Psychrobacter sp. RNAcentral describes it as "RNase P RNA component class A". It matches the Rfam family "Bacterial RNase P class A". From Rfam's summary of the family: Ribonuclease P (RNase P) is a ubiquitous endoribonuclease, found in archaea, bacteria and eukarya as well as chloroplasts and mitochondria. Its best characterised activity is the generation of mature 5'-ends of tRNAs by cleaving the 5'-leader elements of precursor-tRNAs. Lineage: Bacteria; Pseudomonadati; Pseudomonadota; Gammaproteobacteria; Moraxellales; Moraxellaceae. The record is from RNAcentral.
UUGGUAGACUAGGCAAUCGCCGCUGCACACUGGCAACAGAUGGCGCAGGGGAGGAAAGUCCGGGCUACAUAGGGCAGCGUGCCAGCUAACGGCUGGGCAGGGUAACUUGACGACCAGUGCAGCAGAGAGUAGACCGCCCCGCGCAAGCGAGGUAAGGGUGAAAGGGUGCGGUAAGAGCGCACCGCGUGGCUGGCAACAGUUCACGGCAUGGUAAACUCCACGGGUAGCAAGACCAAAUAGGCAUCGGCAUGGCGCGGCCCGCGUUCGAUGCGGGUAGGUUGCUUGAGCGUACGAGCGAUUGUACGCCUAGAGGAAUGAUUGUCCACGACAGAACCCGGCUUAUCGGUUUACCAACUUU